AACGAACGCUGGCGGCAGGCCUAACACAUGCAAGUCGAGCGCCCCGCCAGGGGAGCGGCGGACGGGUGGGUAACGCGUGGGGAUAUGCACUUGUCUACGGAAUAGUCUCGGGAAACUGGGGGUAAUACCGUACACGCCCUAAGGCGGAAAGGUUUAUCGGGGAGGGUUUAGCCGGCGUUGGAUUAGGUGGUUGGGGGGGUAAUGGCCUACCAAGCCGACGAUCCAUAGCUGGGUUGAGAGGAUGAUCAGCCACACUGGGACUGAGACACGGCCCAGACUCCUACGGGAGGCAGCGGUGGGGAAUCUUAGACAAUGGGGGCAACCCUGAUCUAGCCAUGCCGCGUGAGUGAUGAAGGCCUUAGGGUUGUAAAGCUCUUUCAGCUGGGAAGAUAAUGACGGUACCAGCAGAAGAAGCCCCGGCUAACUCCGUG
RNAcentral lists this ribosomal RNA (431 nucleotides) under uncultured bacterium. Its description in RNAcentral is "partial 16S ribosomal RNA". It matches the Rfam family "Bacterial small subunit ribosomal RNA", at positions 29 to 507 of the family's 1533-position model. The record is from RNAcentral.